This 305-nucleotide ribosomal RNA is filed under the name uncultured bacterium. Its description in RNAcentral is "bacterial SSU rRNA". It matches the Rfam family "Bacterial small subunit ribosomal RNA", at positions 338 to 659 of the family's 1533-position model. The record is from RNAcentral.
CCUACGGGGGGCAGCAGUGGGGGAUAUUGCACAAUGGGGGAAACCCUGAUGCAGCGACGCCGCGUGUGGGAAGACGGUCCUCUGGAUUGUAAACCACUGUCCCCAGGGACGAAGAUGACGGUACCUGGGGAGGAAGCUCCGGCUAACUACGUGCCAGCAGCCGCGGUAAUACGUAGGGGGCAAGCGUUAUCCGGAUUUACUGGGUGUAAAGGGGGCGCAGACGGCAGCGCAAGCCAGGAGUGAAAGCCCGGGGCCCAACCCCGGGACUGCUCUUGGAACUGCGCGGCUGGAGUGCAGGAGGGGCG